This 321-nucleotide ribosomal RNA is filed under the name uncultured Pseudomonadota bacterium. RNAcentral describes it as "bacterial SSU rRNA". It matches the Rfam family "Bacterial small subunit ribosomal RNA", at positions 30 to 351 of the family's 1533-position model. Lineage: Bacteria; Pseudomonadati; Pseudomonadota. The record is from RNAcentral.
AUUGAACGCUGGCGGCAUGCCUUACACAUGCAAGUCGAACGGUAACGCGGGGCAACCUGGCGACGAGUGGCGAACGGGUGAGUAAUACAUCGGAACGUGCCCAGUAGUGGGGGGAUAGCCCGGCGAAAGCCGGAUUAAUACCGCAUACGACCUACGGGUGAAAGCAGGGGAUCGCAAGACCUUGCGUCAUUGGAGCGGCCGAUAUCAGAUUAGCUUGUUGGUGGGGUAAAAAGCCUACCAAGGCGACGAUCUGUAGCUGGUCUGAGAGGACGACCAGCCACACUGGGACUGAGACACGGCCCAGACUCCUACGGGUGGCUG